RNAcentral lists this ribosomal RNA (253 nucleotides) under uncultured bacterium. Its description in RNAcentral is "partial 16S ribosomal RNA". It matches the Rfam family "Bacterial small subunit ribosomal RNA", at positions 524 to 776 of the family's 1533-position model. The record is from RNAcentral.
UACGAAGGGUGCAAGCGUUACUCGGAAUUACUGGGCGUAAAGCGUGCGCAGGCGGUUCGUUAAGUCAGAUGUGAAAUCCCCGGGCUCAACCCGGGAACUGCGUCCGAGACUGGAAGGCUCGAAUCCGGGAGAGGGAUGUGGAAUUCCAGGUGUAGCGGUGAAAUGCGUAGAUAUCUGGAGGAACACCGGUGGCGAAGGCGGCAUCCUGGACCGGUAUUGACGCUGAGGCGCGAAAGCCAGGGGAGCAAACGGG